CCAUGGCAUUACUCACUGUUGCCACCUGACUCUUGGAAAUGAAGAAUGCAUCUUUUUGUAUUCUUGCUGUCCAGCAUGCCAGUGCUUCCUCCACGAAUUUGAAAGACAUAUUGGCUGACCUGAUGCGUAAGAAGCAGGCCAGAAUUAAGACCUUCAGGCAGCAACAUGGCAAGAUGGUGGCAGGCCAAAUCACUGUGAACAUGAAAAAUGAUGGCACAAUAGGCACCAAGGACUGGUACAUGAAAUGUCAGUUCUUGAUCCUGAUGAUAGUGUCUGUUUUUUUAAGGUCAUGGUAUCCCUGAAUGCCAGAGGCUGCUGCCCAAAACUAAAGGUGGGAAAGAAUUAAGGGCGGCAAAGAUGUGUCAGAUGAGCAUUUAAGAGAAUACAUCUCGAACAAACUCAGGACAGGUUGUCCCAGGCUCUGGCCAUGCAGUCUUCUAAGGAAGACUGAUUCAUGGUAUACCUGUCAGUGAGAGUUUGCUCUGAAACACCUGCCUAGUGACCCCAUGUUAAGCUGACUGCUCAACUGCACAAGAUUCUGUCCAAAAUCCUCUUAGAGCAGGGCAAGGCCAAGAAUCCUUGGCCCAACGUUGAUGCCCACAGUUGGGUGUUGCUCCAGUACUGCGGUAUGAUGGAGACGAAUUACUACAUAGUCCUAUUUGGGGUGUCAUAAGCAGUGGGUAUACUGGCACAGCACAUUUGAAGGCGAGCCCGAGGCCUCCCUCUAGAGAGGUCCAAGUCCAUGAGCACAGAUGGUCUGAUGAGGGGUUGUGAAUUC
Molecule: long non-coding RNA, 778 nt
Filed under: Homo sapiens (human)
Lineage: Eukaryota; Metazoa; Chordata; Mammalia; Primates; Hominidae
Description: non-protein coding lnc-MDH1-2:1
Source: RNAcentral